RNAcentral lists this long non-coding RNA (262 nucleotides) under Penaeus japonicus. RNAcentral describes it as "uncharacterized LOC122242702". The record is from RNAcentral. Lineage: Eukaryota; Metazoa; Arthropoda; Malacostraca; Decapoda; Penaeidae.
GAGUGGUCUCGUAGGUAGGGGCAGGCUCGUAGGCAGGUGCAGGCUUGUAGGCAGGUGCAUGAUGGUAAGCAGGGGCAGGCUUGUAAGCAGGCUUAUACUCGGGGUACUGGGCCUCACCCUCGUAGCUGACCUCGGCCACGUAGCCGGAGUCUCCGUUGACAGUGUAGGCGACCUUCUGCAGACGACCGUCAGGAAGGAGAACGUAGUAGGAACCCUGGGUGUCAUAGCCAUCACGAGCCUCUUGGUGACCAAAGUCGUUACC